Molecule: unclassified non-coding RNA, 426 nt
Filed under: plant metagenome
Description: partial contains 5.8S ribosomal RNA, internal transcribed spacer 2, and large subunit ribosomal RNA
Rfam family: Bacterial small subunit ribosomal RNA
Source: RNAcentral
GGAAUCUUCCGCAAUGGGCGAAAGCCUGACGGAGCAACGCCGCGUGAGUGAUGAAGGUUUUCGGAUCGUAAAGCUCUGUUGCCAAGGAAGAACGUCUUCUAGAGUAACUGAUAGGAGAGUGACGGUACUUGAGAAGAAAGCCCCGGCUAACUACGUGCCAGCAGCCGCGGUAAUACGUAGGGGGCAAGCGUUGUCCGGAAUUAUUGGGCGUAAAGCGCGCGCAGGCGGUUCUUUAAGUCUGGUGUUUAAACCCGAGGCUCAACUUCGGGUCGCACUGGAAACUGGGGGACUUGAGUGCAGAAGAGGAGAGUGGAAUUCCACGUGUAGCGGUGAAAUGCGUAGAUAUGUGGAGGAACACCAGUGGCGAAGGCGACUCUCUGGGCUGUAACUGACGCUGAGGCGCGAAAGCGUGGGGAGCAAACAGGA